RNAcentral lists this ribosomal RNA (479 nucleotides) under uncultured bacterium. RNAcentral describes it as "SSU rRNA". It matches the Rfam family "Bacterial small subunit ribosomal RNA", at positions 26 to 521 of the family's 1533-position model. The record is from RNAcentral.
AGGAUGAACGCUGGCGGUAUGCUUAACACAUGCAAGUCGUACGGGUGGAACUUGUUCCAUCUAGUGGCGGACGGGUGCGUAACACGUAAGAACCUACCUUUUGGAGGGGGAUAACAUUGGGAAACUGAUGCUAAUACCUCGUAAUACUGAGGAGUUAAAAGCGGGUAUCCUGCAAGGGAGCUACGCGCCAAGAGAGGGGCUUGCGGCUGAUUAGCUAGUUGGUGGGGGUAAUGGCCUCCCAAGGCCACGAUCAGUAGCUGGUCUGAGAGGACGACCAGCCACACUGGGACUGAGACACGGCCCAGACUCUUACGGGAGGCAGCAGUGAGGAAUUUUCCACAAUGGGCGAAAGCCUGAUGGAGCAAUCCCGCGUGGAGGAAGAAGGUCUGUGGAUCGUAAUCUCCUUUUCUCUAGAGAAGAACAAAAUGACGGUAUCUGAGGAAUAAGCUCCGGCUAACUAUGUCGCCAGCAGCCGCGGU